GACGAACGCUGGCGGCGUGCUUAACACAUGCAAGUCGAACGGUAAGGCCCUUCGGGGUACACGAGUGGCGAACGGGUGGGUAACACGUGGGUGAUCUGCCCUGCACUUCGGGAUAAGCCUGGGAAACUGGGUCUAAUACCGGAUAGGACCCUGGGAUGCAUGUCCUGGGGUGGAAAGCUUUUGCGGUGUGGGAUGGGCCCGCGGCCUAUCAGCUUGUUGGUGGGGUGAUGGCCUACCAAGGCGACGACGGGUAGCCGGCCUGAGAGGGUGACCGGCCACACUGGGACUGAGAUACGGCCCAGACUCCUACGGGAGGCAGCAGUGGGGAAUAUUGCACAAUGGGCGCAAGCCUGAUGCAGCGAAGCCGCGUGAGGGAUGACGGCCUUCGGGUUGUAAACCUCUUUCAGCACCGACGAAGCGCAAGUGACGGUAGGUGCAGAAGAAGGACCGGCCAACUACGUGCCAGCCGCCGCGGUAA
This 478-nucleotide ribosomal RNA is filed under the name uncultured bacterium. Its description in RNAcentral is "partial 16S ribosomal RNA". It matches the Rfam family "Bacterial small subunit ribosomal RNA", at positions 28 to 523 of the family's 1533-position model. The record is from RNAcentral.